Molecule: ribosomal RNA, 253 nt
Filed under: uncultured bacterium
Lineage: Bacteria
Description: partial 16S ribosomal RNA
Rfam family: Bacterial small subunit ribosomal RNA
Source: RNAcentral
UACGGAGGGGGCUAGCGUUGUUCGGAAUUACUGGGCGUAAAGCGCACGUAGGCGGACCAGCAAGUUAGGGGUGAAAUCCCGGGGCUCAACCCCGGAACUGCCUUUAAAACUGUUGGUCUGGAGGUCGAGAGAGGUGAGUGGAAUUCCGAGUGUAGAGGUGAAAUUCGUAGAUAUUCGGAGGAACACCAGUGGCGAAGGCGGCUCACUGGCUCGAUACUGACGCUGAGGUGCGAAAGCGUGGGGAGCAAACAGG